UGGGGAAUAUUGGACAAUGGGCGCAAGCCUGAUCCAGCCAUGCCGCGUGAGUGAUGAAGGCCCUAGGGUUGUAAAGCUCUUUCACCGGUGAAGAUAAUGACGGUAACCGGAGAAGAAGCCCCGGCUAACUUCGUGCCAGCAGCCGAGGUAAUACGAAGGGGGCUAGCGUUGUUCGGAUUUACUGGGCGUAAAGCGCACGUAGGCGGACUAUUAAGUCAGGGGUGAAAUCCCGGGGCUCAACCCCGGAACUGCCUUUGAUACUGGUAGUCUUGAGUGCGAGAGAGGUGAGUGGAAUUCCGAGUGUAGAGGUGAAAUUCGUAGAUAUUCGGAGGAACACCAGUGGCGAAGGCGGCUCACUGGCUCGAUACUGACGCUGAGGUGCGAAAGCGUGGGGAGCAAACAGG
RNAcentral lists this ribosomal RNA (404 nucleotides) under Actinomycetes bacterium. RNAcentral describes it as "Actinobacteria bacterium partial 16S ribosomal RNA". It matches the Rfam family "Bacterial small subunit ribosomal RNA", at positions 355 to 776 of the family's 1533-position model. The record is from RNAcentral. Lineage: Bacteria; Bacillati; Actinomycetota; Actinomycetes.